This 253-nucleotide ribosomal RNA is filed under the name uncultured bacterium. RNAcentral describes it as "partial 16S ribosomal RNA". It matches the Rfam family "Bacterial small subunit ribosomal RNA", at positions 524 to 776 of the family's 1533-position model. The record is from RNAcentral.
UACGUAGGUGACAAGCGUUGUCCGGAUUUACUGGGCGUAAAGGGUGCGUAGGCGGCGCGGUAAGUCGGGUGUGAAAUCUCGGAGCUUAACUCCGAAACUGCAUUCGAUACUGCCGUGCUUGAGGACUGGAGAGGAGACUGGAAUUUACGGUGUAGCGGUGAAAUGCGUAGAUAUCGUAAGGAAGACCAGUGGCGAAGGCGACUUCCUGGCCUGUUCUUGACGCUGAGGCGCGAAAGCUAGGGGAGCAAACGGG